Molecule: long non-coding RNA, 249 nt
Filed under: Prunus persica (peach)
Lineage: Eukaryota; Viridiplantae; Streptophyta; Magnoliopsida; Rosales; Rosaceae
Description: long non-coding RNA (PPER_LNC000306)
Source: RNAcentral
AAUCAUAGAAUUUCUCCAAAAAAAAGAAAAAAAAAGGAUAAGUUUUAUGAAUAUUCUGGAACCUAGGGUUUCCUACGGUUUUAGGAUUUCUUGGUUUUCUUUUGAAGCCAACUUAUGACAUUGUAUUAUUUAGUUUUAUCAUAUUAUUAAUCAAAUUUAGAGAUUUUUGCUAUUUUCUGGUGGAUUCCAGUCACUAAUGGAUUUCAAUUUAUCUUUCUGGGUUUAGACGUUUGUCAAUCCUUACCCGUG